CCAGAUGAUACACCGAAAUUGGCGCCACUCGCUCAUUUGGUGUUAUUCUGAAGGUUCUGUUAUUCUAAGAGUAUAUACUAAAAUAUCAAUAAUAUAA
Parasteatoda tepidariorum (common house spider) is the source of this 97-nucleotide non-coding RNA. NCBI's taxonomy places the organism in Eukaryota, Metazoa, Arthropoda, Arachnida, Araneae, Theridiidae. The record is from RefSeq and is a predicted model, not a curated record.